GGAUGACCAUGACAAUGGCCAGGCAUUCUGUUAAGUCCUUAAGCAGAUGUGGUGGAAGCACUAAGGGUAGGAAAGAAAAACCCAUUCUGUGCUUAGAGAGAGUAGCAGUUUCCCGGGAUACCUCACCAUCCUCCUUUGACUCACGUUAAUCUGUGCAGAGCAUCAUUUGCAGAACAAGGAGGAAUAAAGGGGAUGACUACAUCAAGCGUUGUGCAAGAUGAAUCAAGCAACAAUGAGAGACAUAGAAGCAAGAAUAGAAAAGAUGAUUGGUACCCUGAGGUGGCAUGAAUAAAAUGAAUUAAUUUCCCCACAGCCUUCUUAUGACGAAAUGGCCUGUGCUGAAUGUGUGGCAUCUGUGAAAAAGUGCCAGCUAUUCCAUGAACACCCCAGCUCUUUCACUCUUUGUAAAAUAAAGCGGCAUCUGUAUACACACAA
Molecule: non-coding RNA, 435 nt
Organism: Ictidomys tridecemlineatus (thirteen-lined ground squirrel)
Lineage: Eukaryota; Metazoa; Chordata; Mammalia; Rodentia; Sciuridae
Source: RefSeq, a predicted model, not a curated record